This 497-nucleotide ribosomal RNA is filed under the name uncultured bacterium. RNAcentral's name for it is "partial 16S ribosomal RNA". It matches the Rfam family "Bacterial small subunit ribosomal RNA", at positions 28 to 507 of the family's 1533-position model. The record is from RNAcentral.
GAUGAACGCUGGCGGCGUGCCUAAUACAUGCAAGUCGAGCGAACAGACGAGGAGCUUGCUCCUCUGACGUUAGCGGCGGACGGGUGAGUAACACGUGGAUAACCUACCUAUAAGACUGGGAUAACUUCGGGAAACCGGAGCUAAUACCGGAUAAUAUAUUGAACCGCAUGGUUCAAUAGUGAAAGACGGUUUUGCUGUCACUUAUAGAUGGAUCCGCGCCGCAUUAGCUAGUUGGUAAGGUAACGGCUUACCAAGGCGAGGAUGCGUAGCCGACCUGAGAGGGUGGUCGGCCACCCGGGAACUGAGACACGGUCCAUACUCCUACGGGAGGCAGCAGUAGGGAAUCUUCCGCAAUGGGCGAAAGCCUGACGGAGCAACGCCGCGUGAGUGAUGAAGGUCUUCGGAUCGUAAAACUCUGUUAUUAGGGAAGAACAAAUGUGUAAGUAACUAUGCACGUCUUGACGGUACCUAAUCAGAAAGCCACGGCUAACUACGUG